CAAAAACAUGGCCUUUAGAGAAGUAUUUAAGGUCGGGCCUGCCCACUGAAGUAAUUGAAGGGCCGCGGUAUUUUGACCGUGCAAAGGUAGCAUAAUCAUUAGUCUUUUAAUUGAAGGCUGGAAUGAAUGGUUUGACGAAAUAUUAACUGUCUCUUUAUAAUAAGUAGAAUUUAACUUUUGAGUCAAAAGGCUUAAAUAAAUAUAAAAGACGAGAAGACCCUAUAGAUCUUUAUAUAAUUCUGUAAUUGCUUUAUUUAGUUGUUUUAUUUACAAUUAUUUGAUUGUAUUUUGUUGGGGUGACAUGAAGAUAAAAGUAACUCUUUAUAAUAAUAACAUUGAUUUAUGGGUAGUUGAUCCGUUAUUAACGAUUAUAAGAUAAAGUUACCUUAGGGAUAACAGCGUAAUUUUUUUUGAGAGUUCUUAUCGACAAAAAAGAUUGCGACCUCGAUGUUGGAUUAAGGAAUAUGAUUAGGUGUAGCAGUUUAAUUAAUAAGUCUGUUCGACUUUUAAAUCCUUACGUCAUCUGA
This 527-nucleotide ribosomal RNA is filed under the name Anterastes burri. RNAcentral's name for it is "partial 16S ribosomal RNA". It matches the Rfam family "Bacterial large subunit ribosomal RNA", at positions 1808 to 2608 of the family's 2925-position model. Lineage: Eukaryota; Metazoa; Arthropoda; Insecta; Orthoptera; Tettigoniidae. The record is from RNAcentral.